GAUGAACGCUGGCGGCGUGCCUAAUACAUGCAAGUCGAGCGGUAACACUUCGGGGGACGAGCGGCGGACGGCUGAGUAACGCGUGGGGAUGUACCCCAGAGUGAGGGAUAAGCACCGGAAACGGUGUCUAAUACCGCAUAACCUCUUCGGAGAAAAGCUUCGGCGCUUUGGGAACGGCCUGCGUAUGAUUAGCUUGUUGGUGAGGUAAAAGCUGACCAAGGCUAUGAUCAUUAGCUGGUCUGAGAGGAUGAUCAGACAGACUGGGACUGAGACACGGCCCAGACUCCUACGGGAGGCAGCAGUAGGGAAUUUUCCACAAUGGACGAAAGUCUGAUGGAGCAACGCCGCGUGCAGGAUGAAGGCCUUCGGGUUGUAAACUGCUUUUAUCUGUGAAGAUUAUGACGGUAGCAGAUGAAUAAGGAUCGGCUAACUCCGUGCCAGCAGCCGCCGUAA
This 453-nucleotide ribosomal RNA is filed under the name uncultured bacterium. Its description in RNAcentral is "partial 16S ribosomal RNA". It matches the Rfam family "Bacterial small subunit ribosomal RNA", at positions 28 to 523 of the family's 1533-position model. The record is from RNAcentral.